UAAAGGUGAAAAUAGACCUUAGGCCGUCUACGGAAUGAGUUUGACACCCCGCGCCUAGACGCUGAUCUUGGGGCAGUUUUGCAUUUUCCCCACUAAUGGUUAGGAAUGGGGAGGGGAAGCUGAUCCUAGAUCUGUACCUAGGGGAAACCUCACCACAAAGCAAGUUAUUAUCAGCCAAUUUAAAUUCAUUGAAAUAUUCCCAUAUUGGAAGACAAAACAUUAUGUCUUAUAAUAUAUGCAUGCUCAUAUCAAGUUGAAUACAUUAUACCUUUUGUUAUAUACCCAAUGUUAUAACAUUUUCUUCUGAGCAUGUAGAGCUGACAAACUCCAUCAUAAGUGGAUGAGGGUGAUGCCUACUCCACGAGCAGUACAAAUACAGUGGAUCAGUGUACAAGAUCCAGGUACACAAAGCUCUGACCCAGAGCAACGUACUUUACAGUAUGAUCUGAGGAUCAUGAAAUCUGAAGGUGGGGCUUUGUAUUAAACUCAGUAUGGCUUCUCUUGCCCUCUGCAGGAGACACAGGGAAAAGCUCCGGGCACACUUCUUGGAGAGCCGGAACCUGAGGGUGUGCAGAAUCAACGCCUCUGGGUUCAUGUCUAAAUCCAGCCCCAGGCCUCAGUGUGGCUGGCAGCUUCAAAAGUGCUACAAAUCUCAUGGGUCCUCCCCUCCUCAAGGGUGCAGCAGUCUGUCAGCUGGCGCACCUACAGCAGCUCCACCGAUUCUCAACAGAACACUCACCAAAGGGAAAAGCUUCAGGAGUAGCUCCCUGUCCCUCAGUCCAGCCCAAAGACACCAGGACACUCAUCACUUCAGGACCCUGCCAAUCUCUCGAGGGCCAAGGGUUGCUGUCCCAGCCUAUAAGCACCUGCAAGAGGUAGAGUCUACAGAGAUGGAGGCGGAAUCUUUAAGAGGGUAAGCACCUGGAUGUUCUGCUUUUCUUUGAAACUGAAUGAGGACAGUGUUGAUAGCAAGGUUGUUUGGUCUUGAUAAGUCAGUUUGAAUCAUGUGCUUUGAAAUAAUAUUCAUGAGUAUAAAUCUUCUGUUUACCUUGAGCCACCUUGAACUAAGUUAACUUAAAUGACGUAACACUCCAUGCCGCCCCACAACUUGUGUUGCAUUUUCAUUUUGAACGAAAACAAGUGGGUUGAGCCCUGAGCCGCCUUGGGCUAGCCUUCUGGGCAUGGUGUGUCUUCCCGCCUACUCGAACA
This 1209-nucleotide long non-coding RNA is filed under the name Salmo trutta (river trout). Its description in RNAcentral is "lncRNA (ENSSTUG00000008866.1)". The record is from RNAcentral. Lineage: Eukaryota; Metazoa; Chordata; Actinopteri; Salmoniformes; Salmonidae.